GAUGAACGCUAGCGGCAGGCUUAACACAUGCAAGUCGAGGGGCAGCGCGUCGUAGCAAUCAUCUGCCGGCGACCGGCGCACGGGUGAGUAACACGUAUGCAACCUGCCCGUCACGGGGGGAUAGUCGAGAGAAAUCUCGUCUAAUACCGCAUACACUCUUCGGGAGGCAUCUUCGGGAGAGGAAAGAUUAAUUGGUGACGGAUGGGCAUGCGGACAUUAGCUAGUUGGCGGGUAACGGCCCACCAAGGCGACGAUGUCUAGGGGUUCUGAGAGGAA
Molecule: ribosomal RNA, 276 nt
Filed under: uncultured bacterium
Lineage: Bacteria
Description: partial 16S ribosomal RNA
Rfam family: Bacterial small subunit ribosomal RNA
Source: RNAcentral